RNAcentral lists this ribosomal RNA (781 nucleotides) under uncultured bacterium. RNAcentral's name for it is "bacterial SSU rRNA". It matches the Rfam family "Bacterial small subunit ribosomal RNA", at positions 8 to 780 of the family's 1533-position model. The record is from RNAcentral.
AGGGUUUGAUCCUGGCUCAGAUUGAACGCUGGCGGCAGGCCUAACACAUGCAAGUCGAGCGGUAACAGGGAUAGCUUGCUAUCUGCUGACGAGCGGCGGACGGGUGCGUAACACGUAGGAAUCUACCCAGUAGCGGGGGAUAGCCCGGAGAAAUCCGGAUUAAUACCGCAUACGCCCUAAGGGGGAAAGCAGGGGAUCUUCGGACCUUGCACUACUGGAUGAGCCUGCGUCGGAUUAGCUAGUUGGUGGGGUAAAAGCCUACCAAGGCAACGAUCCGUAGCUGGUCUGAGAGGAUGAUCAGCCACACUGGGACUGAGACACGGCCCAGACUCCUACGGGAGGCAGCAGUGGGGAAUAUUGCACAAUGGGCGCAAGCCUGAUGCAGCCAUGCCGCGUGUGUGAAGAAGGCUCUAGGGUUGUAAAGCACUUUCAGCGAGGAGGAAAGGGGUUGAGCUAAUACCUCAGCUCUGUGACGUUACUCGCAGAAGAAGCACCGGCUAACUCCGUGCCAGCAGCCGCGGUAAUACGGAGGGUGCGAGCGUUAAUCGGGAUUACUGGGCGUAAAGCGUACGUAGGCGGCUACUUAAGUGGGAUGUGAAAGCCCUGGGCUCAACCUGGGAACUGCAUCCCAAACUGGGUAGCUAGAGUGCGAGAGAGGAGUGUGGAAUUUCCUGUGUAGCGGUGAAAUGCGUAGAUAUAGGAAGGAACACCAGUGGCGAAGGCGACACUCUGGCUUGACACUGACGCUGAGGUACGAAAGCGUGGGGAGCAAACAGGAUUA